RNAcentral lists this ribosomal RNA (492 nucleotides) under uncultured bacterium. RNAcentral describes it as "partial 16S ribosomal RNA". It matches the Rfam family "Bacterial small subunit ribosomal RNA", at positions 29 to 507 of the family's 1533-position model. The record is from RNAcentral.
AGUGAACGCUGGCGGUAGGCCUAACACAUGCAAGUCGAACGGCAGCACAGUAAGAGCUUGCUCUUACGGGUGGCGAGUGGCGGACGGGUGAGGAAUACAUCGGAAUCUACUUUUUCGUGGGGGAUAACGUAGGGAAACUUACGCUAAUACCGCAUACGACCUACGGGUGAAAGCAGGGGAUCUUCGGACCUUGCGCGAUUGAAUGCGCCGAUGUCGGAUUAGCUAGUUGGCGGGGUAAAGGCCCACCAAGGCGACGGUCCGUAGCUGGUCUGAGAGGAUGAUCGGCCACACUGGAACUGAGACACGGACCAGACUCCUACGGGAGGCAGCAGUGGGGAAUAUUGGACAAUGGGCGCAAGCCUGAUCCAGCCAUACCGCGUGGGUGGAGAAGGCCUUCGGGUUGUAAAGCCCUUUUGUUGGGAAAGAAAAGCAGCAGGUUAAUACCCCGCUGUUCUGACGGUACCCAAAGAAUAAGCACCGGCUAACUUCGUG